This is a long non-coding RNA of Anolis carolinensis (green anole), 628 nucleotides long. RefSeq lists it as uncharacterized. The transcript has 2 exons. The record is from RefSeq and is a predicted model, not a curated record. NCBI's taxonomy places the organism in Eukaryota, Metazoa, Chordata, Lepidosauria, Squamata, Anolidae.
UCACUCAAAGCCCAAUGCCUAUUUGUUUCAACAGAAAAAAAAACUGCUCAUGGAUCUUAACAGCAAGGGAAACAUGCCUAUAGGAUUGUUACCGCCAUACUUCUGAAUGAUUAAAGGAACAGAAAUAGUUUUCCAGUCUAGGAUGAAGAACAGAACCUUUGUCCCACCACCGUGAUUCCAACCUGCAUAUGAUCCAGUCAGUAUGACCAGUGGUAAAGGACUAUGGUUCUGUAGCCUAAAACAUCUGGAGAACCCAAGAUUGUCUACCUUUGCUGUAAGACUUCUGUACUAUAGAUGUACAAGGAGCAAAACAUCUGCAGGAGGUGUGUGGAGAUGUUGGGAGUCUAGAAAUGAUACACUACUCCUGGAAGAUAGCAGCUGUUGGGGAAGGGGCUGCCUGUCAUUCUCUUUUUCUCUUGGAGACCCCAGACAUAAGAAACAAUGGAGUCUCAAGCUGGAAGAAGGAACUGCUCACUUUUUGCUCAGCUGUUCUUCCAUAUGAAAUUGCCUUAUAGCAAGUCAGAACGUUGUGUGUUUAGGAGGCUGAGCAGCUGUCGGGUGAACUAUUUAUUUCUCAUUCAGCUCUUUAUGUGGUUGCCAAAUAAACAAGUGAAGAUGCAGAGGAAAA